AGUCGCAGUUGUAGCUCGUAGUUGAUUUUGGCCUUGGUUUGUGAGGUUCGGCCUUCCUGGUCGGUACCUUUACGAACCGGGCUCCACCUUCUGGGUUAGCCGGUUGUUACUUCGGUGCAGCUGGUGAACCAUAACUUUUACUUUGAAAAAAUUGGAGAGGUUAAAGCAGGCUUUCAAGCUUGAACAUAUUAUCAUGGAAUAAUGAAAUAGGACUUUGGCCUAAUUUCGUUGGUUUCUAAAGCCAACGUAAUGAUGAAUAGGGAUAGUUGGGGACAUUAGUAUUCAAUUGUCAGACGUGAAAUUCUUGGAUUUAUUGAAGACUAACUUCUGCCAAAGCAUUUGUCAAGGAUGUUUUCAUUAAUCCCGAACGAAAGUUAGGGGAUCGAAUACGAUCAGAUACCGCCCUAAUCUUAACCAUAGACUAUGCCCACUAAGGAUCGGAUGGUGUUAUAUUUAUCUUGACCCAUUCGACAUUUCAACAAAAGCCAAGUUUUUGGGUUCCGGUGGGAGUAUGGUCGCAAGGCUGAAACUUAAAGGAAUUGACGGACUGGCACCACCAGGAGUGGAGCCUGCGACAUAUUUUGACUCAACACGGGGAAACUCACCAGGUCCAGACAUAGAAAAGGUUGACAGAUUGAGAGCUCUUUCUUGAUUCUAUGGGUGGUGGUGCAUGGCCGUUCUUAAUUCGUGGAGUGAUUUGUCUGGUUAAUUCCCAUAACGAACGAGACUCUUACUCUGCUAAAUAUCCAGCAUGACUUUGCGUCGUGUCCUUAUUCGGCUUCUUAGAGAGACUAUCAAUGUUUCAUUGAUGCAUGUUUGAGGCAUGAACACGCCUGUCGAUGCACCUUAGAUGUUCUGGGCGCA
Molecule: ribosomal RNA, 864 nt
Filed under: uncultured fungus
Lineage: Eukaryota; Fungi
Description: bacterial SSU rRNA
Rfam family: Eukaryotic small subunit ribosomal RNA
Source: RNAcentral